CGCGGGAUGGCGCAGCCUGGUAGCUCGUCGGGCUCAUAGCCCGAAGGUCGUCGGUUCAAAUCCGGCUCCCGCAACCA
This 77-nucleotide transfer RNA is filed under the name Pseudomonas hunanensis. RNAcentral describes it as "tRNA-Met". It matches the Rfam family "tRNA". From Rfam's summary of the family: Transfer RNA (tRNA) molecules are approximately 80 nucleotides in length. Their secondary structure includes four short double-helical elements and three loops (D, anti-codon, and T loops). Lineage: Bacteria; Pseudomonadati; Pseudomonadota; Gammaproteobacteria; Pseudomonadales; Pseudomonadaceae. The record is from RNAcentral.